RNAcentral lists this signal recognition particle RNA (265 nucleotides) under Fidelibacterota bacterium. RNAcentral describes it as "signal recognition particle sRNA large type". It matches the Rfam family "Bacterial large signal recognition particle RNA". From Rfam's summary of the family: The signal recognition particle (SRP) is a universally conserved ribonucleoprotein involved in the co-translational targeting of proteins to membranes. Archaeal SRP consists of a 7S RNA and homologues of the eukaryotic SRP19 and SRP54 proteins. In most bacteria, the SRP consists of a 4.5S RNA and the Ffh protein (a homologue of the eukaryotic SRP54 protein). Lineage: Bacteria; Pseudomonadati; Fidelibacterota. The record is from RNAcentral.
UCGUGCUAGAUGGGGAAUUAGCGGUGCCCUGUAACCUGCAAUCCGCUAUAGCAGGGUUGAUGCUUUUAGGAGGCAAGUGCUGAUCGCUAAACUAGGAUUAAGUAGCGUUGAAAUUUCAACUCUUCGCAAUGGUUUUACACUAAACUCCGUCAGGACCGGAAGGUAGCAGCGGUAGGUGCUCAGAAUUAUGUGCCGUAGAAAUCUUGAAAUGGAGUUAACUGAUUCUUCGUUUAUUGACACCAGAUUUGUCGAAUUAAGUGCACGA